RNAcentral lists this ribosomal RNA (483 nucleotides) under uncultured bacterium. Its description in RNAcentral is "bacterial SSU rRNA". It matches the Rfam family "Bacterial small subunit ribosomal RNA", at positions 30 to 507 of the family's 1533-position model. The record is from RNAcentral.
AUUGAACGCUGGCGGCAUGCCUUACACAUGCAAGUCGAACGGCAGCACGGGAGCAAUCCUGGUGGCGAGUGGCGAACGGGUGAGUAAUAUAUCGGGAACGUGCCCAGUCGUGGGGGAUAACGUAGCGAAAGCUACGCUAAUACCGCAUACGAUCUAUGGAUGAAAGCGGGGGAUCGCAAGACCUCGCGCGAUUGGAGCGGCCGAUAUCAGAUUAGGUAGUUGGUGAGGUAAAGGCUCACCAAGCCGACGAUCUGUAGCUGGUCUGAGAGGACGACCAGCCACACUGGGACUGAGACACGGCCCAGACUCCUACGGGAGGCAGCAGUGGGAAUUUUGGACAAUGGGCGCAAGCCUGAUCCAGCAAUGCCGCGUGCAGGAUGAAGGCCUUCGGGUUGUAAACUGCUUUGUACGGAACGAAACGGUGAGCUCUAAUACAGUUUGCUAAUGACGGUACCGUAAGAAUAAGCACCGGCUAACUACGUG